RNAcentral lists this ribosomal RNA (468 nucleotides) under uncultured bacterium. RNAcentral describes it as "partial 16S ribosomal RNA". It matches the Rfam family "Bacterial small subunit ribosomal RNA", at positions 28 to 507 of the family's 1533-position model. The record is from RNAcentral.
GACGAACGCUGGCGGCGUGCUUAACACAUGCAAGUCGAACGGAAGGGCCCUGCUUUUGUGGGGUGCUCGAGUGGCGAACGGGUGAGUAACACGUGAGUAACCUGCCCUUGACUUUGGGAUAAAUUCAGGAAACUGGGGCUAAUACCGGAUAGGAGAUCCUGCUGCAUGGUGGGGGUUGGAAAGUUUCGGCGGUUGGGGAUGGACUCGCGGGUUAUCGGCUUGUUGGUGGGGUAGUGGCUGACCAAGGGUUUGACGGGUAGCCGGCAUGGGAGGGUGGCCGGGCACAUGGGGACUGCGGGACGCACCAGACGCCUACGGGAGGCAGCAGGCGGGAAUAUUGCACAACGGGCGGAAGCCUGAGGCAGCAACGCCGCGUGCGGGAUGACGGCUUUCGGGGUGUAAACCGCUGUCGCCUGUGACGAAGCGUGAGUGACGGUAAUGGGUAAAGAAGCACCGGCUAACUACGUG